UUGUGUCACUUCAACUGCGUGUGUGUGUUCAAGUGUUCUCUUCAACUACCACUACACAAGGGGAGCAGUGUGUGGCCAUCCCUUAGUGUAUGGUGGUGAUAGAACGUCUACCAACCUCAUCAUGGUCCUCGCUCUACUGCCCCUGCUCUUCUCAGUGGUCCUGGCGGAAGACCCCUUUUACGGCGAGUUGGCCGCUCAGUUCCCGGUGACGCUGGACCCCGAUGGCAGUGACCAGUACCUGUUCUUCAUCGUGCCGAUCCAGAAGAGCGACGACAUGAACGUGGUCGUGCAGGUGGCGCAGGUCCAAGAGGGGUCGUACCUCCGCAACGACUCGAGGGCUGCCAUAACCGCGGAAGCAGAGAAUGGCGACGUCAAUGUGUCUUCGAUCGCCAGUCCCGACUUGUCCCUGGAUGAUGUGUUUCGCACUGGGAAGGACGACAUCCAGCCAGAGUUCAAUUUCCAGGUCCCGGUGGUCGUCCCCCUGAACUUCCCUUUCCGGUACGACCCUGGGGAUGGGUCGCCACAGCUGCCCAACUGCGCCGUCGACUCGCGCACUUGGAUGGAAAAUGUCAUUUCCAAAAUCACGACCACAAUGAAUCUGGAUUGCACUCCUGAGUGGGACCAUAGUGACCUUACCUUAAGGAUUCGUCUGCUGAAGGACAACUUGGCGGCGACGUCCGUGGAGGACCUCUCGACCUCCAGCCUCCUUACAGAGUACAUGGCGAAGGUCGUGUCCUGCAACGCUCUCGCGGGAGUUAGGACUUCGGCCAUCCUGCAAAAUAUUGACAGUCUCACGGCUAACUACGGCGGUAUUGUGUCCGAGGCCCUUGACACCUAUCGUCUCCUGAAGCAGUCCCUGGCGGUAGCUAGCGUCGCUGCAGACUCGCUUCCCUCGGGUUCUGCUGUAGAUGUCGCUAUUAGUCAGAUAAACAUGUUGAGCUCUUCGGUAAACACGACGCUGACUCAGCUCGAUGCCGCUUACGAUUUAGUGAGAGAACUGCAAAGCAAGGAAGAGAACUGAAUGAUUUCCAUUAUUAAUGAUCAUUCUAUCAUUGGUUUUAUUUGGAAUUGUUUACCUUUUCUUUCUGUUAACGUAAUUGCAUCUUCUGUUAACAAUUAUAAUUUCUUUUAACGCCCAAUUAUCUAUUCUAAGAAGGGCCUGUGUUUAUUAUUGAAAACAAUUAAUCUUUGAAGUAAAAAAAAAAAAAAA
This 1210-nucleotide unclassified non-coding RNA is filed under the name Penaeus monodon (black tiger shrimp). Its description in RNAcentral is "uncharacterized LOC119575232, transcript variant X2". The record is from RNAcentral. Lineage: Eukaryota; Metazoa; Arthropoda; Malacostraca; Decapoda; Penaeidae.